CCCUAGCCCGGAUGGAAGCUGGCUACCGCGUAGCGCGAACAGCCGGAUUAGCU
This 53-nucleotide small RNA is filed under the name Flavobacterium sp. 102. RNAcentral describes it as "Flavo-1 RNA". The record is from RNAcentral. Lineage: Bacteria; Pseudomonadati; Bacteroidota; Flavobacteriia; Flavobacteriales; Flavobacteriaceae.